Long non-coding RNA from Symphalangus syndactylus (siamang), 444 nucleotides. RefSeq lists it as uncharacterized. Lineage: Eukaryota; Metazoa; Chordata; Mammalia; Primates; Hylobatidae. The record is from RefSeq and is a predicted model, not a curated record.
AAUCCUGUUUCUUCACUAUUCUUCCUUUGAAUACACACUAAUUAGGAGGGCAGGAGUGUCUUAUUACUGCAGGGUAUAAAUGGAUAUCCUGCCCUCCAUGUUAUCUUCUCUGUCACUGUGAGUGGGGCAGAGCCUUCUUACCACCAAGCAGGAAUGAAUGUGAAAUCUCUGCUCCCUACUUGUGCUUCUCUGACACCACCUCAGUGAGGGGUCAUGGCAGUUCAAUACCGUCUGACAACUCUGAUUAUUACAUUCUGAUCAAUGCCUGCAUGCUCCAAAGCUCCACACUACAGGUUCAAGAGAAGAGUAAUACGUGGUCCUGGGGGAUUUUGAAGAUGUUAAAGGGAAAAGAUGACAAAAAGAAAAGUAUACGAGAGAAACCUAAAGUCUCUGACUCAGACAAUAAUGAAGGUUCAUCUUUCCCUGCUCCUCCUAAACAAUUGG